Molecule: long non-coding RNA, 2282 nt
Organism: Acanthopagrus latus (yellowfin seabream)
Lineage: Eukaryota; Metazoa; Chordata; Actinopteri; Spariformes; Sparidae
Exons: 3
Source: RefSeq, a predicted model, not a curated record
CAUCAAAAGAGUGGCAGCACUUUCUAUUAACGUCUUCAAGAAAACAGCCACAAGAUGUGCAGAGCUGAUCUCACAUGGCAGGGUAGCACCACAUCACAGUUUCACCCAUUGUGUGAGAUGUGAAGUAGUUUGGAUGAGGAUCAUCAAGAAGCAAGACCAGAGGCCAAGAAAUCAGACAGUGCCAUGCUCAGUUUUCUCCUGAACUGAACUGAACAACUGGAAUAAACAAAGCAGACCUCUCGCCACUGAAUCAUCUACAAUCAAGAUACAGAGUCUCGCACUGACUGACUGUGGCUGCAGCAGGACUCUUCAUACCUCAGAGUGUCCAGUCUCCAGCCUGGAUCCUCCAGUAGAGCAGACAGUUGCUUGACUCCUGAGUCUCUUGGAUGAUUGUAGAUCAGGUCCAGCUCUCUCAGAUGGGAGGGGUUGGAGUCCAGAGCUGAGGCCAGAGAAGCACAGCCUUCUUCUGUGAUCAGACAGCCUGACAGCCUGCAGACACACAAACAACACACAUCUGACAGCAGUAAAUGUUUAUUAUCUCACUGAAUGAUAAGUCACAGGGCAGUAAGACUGUUUUAUCUUGGUUGUGCUUUUUAUUUGUUUUCAUAUUUUAUUGGGCUUUAUAUUGCAUGCUUUUACUUGUGUUGUGCUUUUAAUUAUUUAUUGUGUUGAAGUUUUAGUGUAUGUGUGUGGUUUUAAUUUACUACUGCCUGUGAACACACCAUGUUAUUGUUGAUCAGCUGCACCUGGGAGGUUCUGCCUUUUCCCCUAUUUAACAGCCACUAACUGAGAGCCAGAAGAGAGAGAGGGAAGAGGGACACAUGAGAGAGACGCCAAAAAAUGCCAGGACGGUGCAAAGACCCGCCAACUUGUUGGCAGGUCUGGUUGACCGAAGUAAGAGGCCUGGUAGAUGGACUAAGGUCGGAAGACGCUGAGUGGACUGGAGAAAGGCACUGACGUCAAACGCGAUCAAGCACACCAGCAAGGCGCUGGGUCUUCACUGGGUCUUCACGAGGAGACCAGACCUGGUCUGAGGGCUCUAAGUGGGCUGGUGAUGGCAAGACAGCACGAGCACCGGGCGCACAUAAGGAAACCCAGAGCAUUACUGCUUGACAUACUCGCAGCAGCAGAGCAUAGUGCUCUGCCUGGUGGGCACAUAUUCCCUAUGGGUCAUAGUAACGCUCUGGUGUGUGUUUGAGCUGGUUAAGCUGUAGUCUGUGAGGUGUGUGGACCCCCCGUAUUGGCCGUGUGUUUGUAUUUCCAGGUGACUUCCGGGAUGCUGUUGGGGAGAAGCAGCUGAAGCACCUGUAGCACCUGAUGAGAGACGGCAGAGCUCCACCACCACCUCUGAGCCGUCCCUGUAUCUGGUCUGGCUGGCACAAAAACACUUUUCUUUUAACCCAAAUGGACUAUUUUUAACAUGUGAAGCCUCCGUUUUAGAAUCUGGUGUGCUUUCCCCCAAUAUUUCACCAGAACCUGUAUCCCCCUUAAGAUAACCUUUUUUUUUUUUUCAUCACAUAAUUGCCACUUCUCAUUCCCCCGCCCCUUUACAGAUGGACUUUCCUUCUUCUCCAUAUUAUAUAUUUGACACUGUUUUCCUAACCCAAGUAAUCAGUAAGAGUGAUGUGACUGUAUGAGGCUCAACAGCAGCCUCAGUUCAAAGGUAAGAGGAGCUCUGGGCAGGUUUUGCUGCUGAAGUGCUUCAGGGGCAGGACAGCCGUUAUCACUCUCAUGGAGGUGCAGAGGGGAGGUGGGGCGCUCCUGGAGUGAUCUGGUCCCCCUUUCAGAGGGAUGGGCACUGAAUCAGAGACUGGGAACAGUGGCUAGAAUAUCCUCCUAACAGUUAACAACCUGUGACCUCACUGUCUUUUUCAGAAAGAUGGGAAGUCAUGUAACUUAUAUCUGUCGCUUGGAGGAGGUCGAGGAACUGACUUAAUUCCUGAUGACCUAGGGUCAGUUGAGAAUUGUUCUGAGUGUAGAGGGAGCUAAACCUCCAUCAAGGAGGAGUGUGACUCAGAGUAAGCAGAAUCACAUUGGCUGAACAACUGUGGUGGGGAAAGACAUUCAGACCUGAGCCUUAAAACUCCUCUGUGUGUGAGCAAAGAUCUAACUGAUUGCCAAGAAAUCAAGAUGGGUGUCCCACCGCAAGAUAAAGUAUCAAAUUAUAUGCAGCAAAGUCUGUGGGAUCAAUGUGACUGUGAGUGAAUGAAAAAGGUAAAAAUGAUCAUUUUAUCUUUGCCUUCUGUGUAGUAUACAUUAAAGAAACAUUUUAAAUGAAAAGA